CCUGGUGGUUCUAGCGAGGAGCCUGAACCCGUUCCCAUCCCGAACACGGCCGUUAAACUCCUCAGCGCCAAUGGUACUUCGUCUUAAGACGCGGGAGAGUAGGUCGCUGCCAGGC
This 115-nucleotide ribosomal RNA is filed under the name Rhodopseudomonas pseudopalustris. Lineage: Bacteria; Pseudomonadati; Pseudomonadota; Alphaproteobacteria; Hyphomicrobiales; Nitrobacteraceae. The record is from RNAcentral.